CGUGGCCAACCUGCCCUUGGGACGGAAGCACCCCCGGGAAACUGGGGCUAAUUUCCGAUAGGUGAAGACACCUGGAAUGGAUCUUCGCCUAAAGGGCGCUUAGGCCAUGCUUCUAAGCGCUGCCCAAGGAUGGGACCGCGGCCGAUCAGGUUGUUGGUGAGGUAAUGGCUCACCAAGCCUUUAACCGGUUCGGGCCGUGGGAGCGGGAGCCCGGAGAUGGGCACUGAGACAAGGGCCCAGGUCCUACGGGGCGCAGCAGUCGCGAAAACUCCGCAAUACGCGAAGGCGUGACGGGGCUAUCCCGAGUGCCGUCCGCUGAGGAUGGCUUUUCCCCAGUGUAGAUAGCUGGGGGAAAAAGGAGAGGGCAAGUCUGGUGUCAGCCGCCGCGGUAAUACCAGCUCUCCGAGUGGUGGGGAUGAUUAUUGGGCCUAAAGCAUCCGUAGCUUGCUGAUCAAGUCCCCUGUUAAACCCAACGAAUUAAUCGUUGGAUUGCGGGGGAUACUGCUCGGCUAGGGGACGGGAGAGGCCGACGGUAUUUUCGGGGUAGGGGUGAAAUCCUAUAAUCCCGAGAGGACCACCAGUGGCGAAGGCUGUCGGCUAGAACGCGCCCAACGGUGAGGGAUGAAAGCUGGGGGAGCGAACCGGAUUAGAUACCCGGGUAGUCCCAGCUGU
This 672-nucleotide ribosomal RNA is filed under the name uncultured archaeon. Its description in RNAcentral is "bacterial SSU rRNA". It matches the Rfam family "Archaeal small subunit ribosomal RNA", at positions 99 to 754 of the family's 1478-position model. The record is from RNAcentral.